GUGACCAGUCACACGCCUGAGCAUUGCAGCGAACACAUCUAGUUUGGUUUUGUUUGUGCAUUCAUAUUGCUUGCAGAAAUGCGGCUCAAUUCUGUGUACGUAUUCUGAGUGACGGUCCUGAGGCACGCCAACUUAAAAAAAGAAGCGCUUAUAUCCUGCUUUUGCUUUGAUUUGAGAAAAUCAACAUGCCACAAAUUCAUUAGCAUAUCAACGUGUUCAGCUUAUAACAGAGUGUGCCUCAAAGAAGUCUAUUGUGGAAAGCAGAGACAUAGCACAUCGACUUCGCUUUUAUCUGCACUAACGUGUAAAGGAAAUCGUAUGAUUUGCUUCAAGCACCGUAAUAGUCGACCAGGCAGCAGGUGAAGCUAAUUAGCCCUCCCUUCCCCCUUAAAGAACCGCUUACAAUGUCUGGCCAUUUUGAGCUGACAAGGGCAGCCCAUACAAUGCACGCUAACGACCAUAUCUGCUAAGUAUUACAUCCCUAAGCGCUGCGGAAAGAGCUGGAAUUUCAAACCAAACGCCAUUCGCCCUUCUCCUCGCGGGCACCACGCUCCCAGCCAGAGAGCCGACGUAUAUAUAUUGCACCUACUAUCACAGAACACCUAUGCUACUACAUGGCAGUGCUGUGACAUCGCGCAUAGUGACACGUGACUUCGAGAAUUAUUCAAGGCGGCAUCAGUUUUUCAACAGACGAAUUAAAGAUUAGAGAAAUAAUAAAACAAGCUGAGUAACUGCGUUUUUUUUUUUUUUACUUUGAACUGUAGCAAGAAAGAUGUACUUCUAUCGCGCACGCAGAGAACGAAACUAACUCAUUUUCUACUGUGUUCCAGCGCCGCAAUUAUGCUCUUUCAUUUGUACUACUAAUCAGUUGCUUUUGUGCAGAGCAUGCAUCAACGUACGCUGUGCGAAACGAGACGAACGCAACAGCUCGUGCGCGAGACCGUCACCGGAAGUGCGCCACUCAGCAAAAGAGCGAGAAAAAAAAAUGGCUCCGGCUUAGCUCAACCCUGGAUAUGCAAAGGCUUUGUCUAAAUGACAGAGGUGAAACACACAAGGAGGUCAAAGGAAGGUGAAGGCUUAAAGUGAUAAACUAUGGUCAAACAAGGGAUGUCGCUGCAGCCAACGUCCUGACAAGGCGACCGACCCUGACGAAGACAAGUGCCUGUGAUGAAAUGCCGGCUCCAACUAGAUCCCUUGUUUAACCACUGCUCAUCACAGGGGCGAAAGAUGAAAUAUAUUUAUUCAAUCAGUGUCA
Long non-coding RNA from Dermacentor andersoni, 1255 nucleotides. RefSeq lists it as uncharacterized. Lineage: Eukaryota; Metazoa; Arthropoda; Arachnida; Ixodida; Ixodidae. The record is from RefSeq and is a predicted model, not a curated record.